This 401-nucleotide ribosomal RNA is filed under the name uncultured bacterium. Its description in RNAcentral is "bacterial SSU rRNA". It matches the Rfam family "Bacterial small subunit ribosomal RNA", at positions 356 to 774 of the family's 1533-position model. The record is from RNAcentral.
GGGGAAUCUUGCACAAUGGGGGCAACCCUGAUGCAGCGACGCCGCGUGAGCGAUGAAGCCCUUCGGGGCGUAAAGCUCUUUCGACCGGAACGAUAAUGACGGUACCGGGAGAAGAAGCUGCGGCUAACUACGUGCCAGCAGCCGCGGUAAUACGUAGGCAGCAAGCGUUGUUCGGAGUUACUGGGCGUAAAGAGUGCGUAGGCGGUUUUCUAAGUUCGGUGUGAAAUCUCCCGGCUUAACUGGGAGGGUGCGCCGAAGACUGGGAAGCUGGAGUGUGGGAAAGGCAGGCGGAAUUCCUGGUGUAGCGGUGAAAUGCGUAGAUAUCAGGAGGAGCACCGGCGGUGUAGACGGCUUGCUAGACCAUAACUGACGCUGAGGCACGAAAGCGUGGGUAGCAAACA